GCAGAAGGUAGAUAAUGUUUUAAAGACAAUGGGCUAUCAGGGAUGAGGGAGGAAAGUCCAAACCAAAACAACAUAAAUGAGCCUUAUUUAUCACGUAUUAUGUUUCUGAACACAGACCGUGGAAACAGGUGACAGACCGCUAGUAAAGCUCUUGUAAUGGAAGUUACUUCACCUAACAUGUUGAUGCUAAUCCCCUGCCUGGACUGGAACACACCUUAAGAAUGAAUGACAACUCCUUCCUCAAAAACCUGCCUGCAUAUUGACUGGCACUUUGAAAGGCUCUGAGCAGCUCCCAUGUUUGACGCUACAAAGAGAAUGAGCUGAGAGUCUCCUCUCCUGCACCAGUGAAGGAAGAGCAAGCUGCAGGUGCCUGGGCCAGAGACCAAGCUUUGCCAUCAGCUUUACAGAAAAGGCUCAAGCUAACAAGUACUGGCUGCAUUGUGGCAUUCAAACCACAGGCUGCCUUGAGGAGGAGGAAGUUUGCAUCAGUAGGAGUCCCCAGAGGCACCCUUUGUGACUCAUUCUCAAUUCCUCUGAGGGUGCUGGGCAAGAGUGUGAUGAAAUCUGGGCUUUAGGGGGAGGAAGACCGUGCAAGGCUAGUUAACAUGGUGUAGCAGAGAAAUGGGACAGGUUAAAGGGAAUUUGACACUACUAGAGCACUUAUGAUUUAUGGGGACACAAACUGGCUGCAGCUCCUGACCAAGGGCACAGGGUCAUUUAUUCCAUUCUAAUACUGAUACCUAAAACAGGGAAGAUGAAUCAUCCACUGGAGGCAUCUAGUUCACUCCACUGACUAAUAGAAGCAUAAAAACAGCCAAGAGAAGUCACUGAAUAUUUAGACAGCACAAGUUAGUGGUGUCAAAUUCCACAAUAAGUAGCUUACAGCUGACAAAUAUGUGUCACAGAGGCACGGGCUAUGCAUGGAUCAGCAGUCAUACUCAUACUUCCCAGACAUGUUUAUAUGGCAUUCAGCUUGCUGGCCUGAUCACCAGAAGCUAUCAAGGUAUUCAAACGGAUUGCUCCUAAGCAUUAUACCAAAAGAAGAGAAGAAAUCUAAUAAAGUGUUCAUCUCUGGUUCUCA
Molecule: long non-coding RNA, 1081 nt
Organism: Neopsephotus bourkii (Bourke's parrot)
Lineage: Eukaryota; Metazoa; Chordata; Aves; Psittaciformes; Psittacidae
Exons: 3
Source: RefSeq, a predicted model, not a curated record